GGUUAAGCGACUAAGCGUACACGGUGGAUGCCCUGGCAGUCAGAGGCGAUGAAGGACGUGCUAAUCUGCGAUAAGCGUCGGUAAGGUGAUAUGAACCGUUAUAACCGGCGAUUUCCGAAUGGGGAAACCCAGUGUGAUUCGUCACACUAUCAUUAACUGAAUCCAUAGGUUAAUGAGGCGAACCGGGGGAACUGAAACAUCUAAGUACCCCGAGGAAAAGAAAUCAACCGAGAUUCCCCCAGUAGCGGCGAGCGAACGGGGAGCAGCCCAGAGCCUGAAUCAGUGUGUGUGUUAGUGGAAGCGUCUGGAAAGGCGCGCGAUACAGGGUGACAGCCCCGUACACAAAAAUGCACAUGCUGUGAGCUCGAUGAGUAGGGCGGGACACGUGGUAUCCUGUCUGAAUAUGGGGGGACCAUCCUCCAAGGCUAAAUACUCCUGACUGACCGAUAGUGAACCAGUACCGUGAGGGAAAGGCGAAAAGAACCCCGGCGAGGGGAGUGAAAAAGAACCUGAAACCGUGUACGUACAAGCAGUGGGAGCACAGAGCAAUCUGUGUGACUGCGUACCUUUUGUAUAAUGGGUCAGCGACUUAUAUUCUGUAGCAAGGUUAACCGAAUAGGGGAGCCGAAGGGAAACCGAGUCUUAACUGGGCGUUAAGUUGCAGGGUAUAGACCCGAAACCCGGUGAUCUAGCCAUGGGCAGGUUGAAGGUUGGGUAACACUAACUGGAGGACCGAACCGACUAAUGUUGAAAAAUUAGCGGAUGACUUGUGGCUGGGGGUGAAAGGCCAAUCAAACCGGGAGAUAGCUGGUUCUCCCCGAAAGCUAUUUAGGUAGCGCCUCGUGAAUUCAUCUCCGGGGGUAGAGCACUGUUUCGGCAAGGGGGUCAUCCCGACUUACCAACCCGAUGCAAACUGCGAAUACCGGAGAAUGUUAUCACGGGAGACACACGGCGGGUGCUAACGUCCGUCGUGAAGAGGGAAACAACCCAGACCGCCAGCUAAGGUCCCAAAGUCAUGGUUAAGUGGGAAACGAUGUGGGAAGGCCCAGACAGCCAGGAUGUUGGCUUAGAAGCAGCCAUCAUUUAAAGAAAGCGUAAUAGCUCACUGGUCGAGUCGGCCUGCGCGGAAGAUGUAACGGGGCUAAACCAUGCACCGAAGCUGCGGCAGCGAC
Molecule: ribosomal RNA, 1172 nt
Filed under: Escherichia coli
Lineage: Bacteria; Pseudomonadati; Pseudomonadota; Gammaproteobacteria; Enterobacterales; Enterobacteriaceae
Description: partial 23S ribosomal RNA
Rfam family: Bacterial large subunit ribosomal RNA
Source: RNAcentral